This 468-nucleotide ribosomal RNA is filed under the name uncultured bacterium. RNAcentral's name for it is "partial 16S ribosomal RNA". It matches the Rfam family "Bacterial small subunit ribosomal RNA", at positions 28 to 507 of the family's 1533-position model. The record is from RNAcentral.
GACGAACGCUGGCGGCGUGCUUAACACAUGCAAGUCGAACGGAAAGGUCCUGCUUAUGUGGGGUGCUCGAGUGGAGAACGGGGGAGUAACACGUGAGUAACGUGCACCUCACGUUGAGAUAAAGUCAGGAAACUUGCGCUAAUACCGGAUAGGAGCUACUGGUGCAUGGUGGGCGUUGGAAAGUUUCGGCGGUUGGGGAUGUAAUCGCCGCUUAUCACCUUGUUGGUGGGGUAGUUGCUUACCAAGGCUUUGACGGGUAGCCGGCCUGGGAGGGUGACCGGAUACACUGGACCUGGGAUACGGCCCGGACUCCUAUGGGACGCAGCGGUGGGGUAGAGUGUACUAUAGGCUGGGGCCUGCUCUAGCAUAGCCGCGUGGCGGAUGUCGGGCUUGGGGUUGUGAAGCGAAUUCGCCUGUGCUGAGGCGAGAAUGACGGUACUGGGAAAAGAAGCACCGGCUAACUACGUG